Molecule: ribosomal RNA, 447 nt
Filed under: uncultured bacterium
Lineage: Bacteria
Description: bacterial SSU rRNA
Rfam family: Bacterial small subunit ribosomal RNA
Source: RNAcentral
UCGGGAAUUUUGGGCAAUGGGCGAAAGCCUGACCCAGCAACGCCGCGUGAAGGAUGAAGUAUUUCGGUAUGUAAACUUCGAAAGAAUAGGAAGAAUAAAUGACGGUACUAUUUAUAAGGUCCGGCUAACUACGUGCCAGCAGCCGCGGUAAUACGUAGGGUGCGAGCGUUAAUCGGAAUUACUGGGCGUAAAGCGUGCGCAGGCGGUUCUAUAAGACAGAUGUGAAAUCCCCGGGCUCAACCUGGGAAUGGCAUUUGUGACUGUAGAGCUAGAGUACGGUAGAGGGGGAUGGAAUUCCGCGUGUAGCAGUGAAAUGCGUAGAUAUGCGGAGGAACACCGAUGGCGAAGGCAAUCCCCUGGACCUGUACUGACGCUCAUGCACGAAAGCGUGGGGAGCAAACAGGAUUAGAUACCCAAGUAGUCCCUGAGCGGGCUGGCAAGGCGCAU